UUAAGUUCAGCGGGUAUUCCUACCUGAUCCGAGGUCAACCUUUAGAAAUUGGUGUGUUUUACGGCAGGGGACGAUCCAACUACAGAGACGAGAUAAAAUUUACUACGCCUAGAGUGUGAACCGACUCCGCCACUAACUUUAAGGAACUACAUCGCUGUAUGUUCCCAACGCUAAGCAACAGGGGCUUAAGGGUUGAAAUG
RNAcentral lists this unclassified non-coding RNA (200 nucleotides) under Sordariomycetes sp. Its description in RNAcentral is "partial internal transcribed spacer 2". The record is from RNAcentral. Lineage: Eukaryota; Fungi; Ascomycota; Sordariomycetes.